This 226-nucleotide ribosomal RNA is filed under the name uncultured bacterium. RNAcentral's name for it is "partial 16S ribosomal RNA". It matches the Rfam family "Bacterial small subunit ribosomal RNA", at positions 108 to 334 of the family's 1533-position model. The record is from RNAcentral.
GAAGUAAUACAUCGGAACGUACCCCGUAGUGGGGGAUAACCCGGCGAAAGCCGGACUAAUACCGCAUAUGCUCUACGGAGGAAAGUGGGGGACCUGCAAGGGCCUCACGCUAUGGGAGCGGCCGAUGUCCGAUUAGCUUGUUGGCGGGGUAAAGGCCCACCAAGGCGACGAUCGGUAGCUGGUCUGAGAGGAUGAUCAGCCACACUGGGACUGAGACACGGCCCAG